GAUGAACGCUGGCGGCGUGCCUAAUACAUGCAAGUCGAGCGAACAGAUAAGGAGCUUGCUCCUUUGACGUUAGCGGCGGACGGGUGAGUAACACGUGGGUAACCUACCUAUAAGACUGGGAUAACUUCGGGAAACCGGAGUUAAUACCGGAUAACAUUUGGAACCGCAUGGUUCUAAAGUGAAAGAUGGUUUUGCUAUCACUUAUAGAUGGACCCGCGCCGUAUUAGCUAGUUGGUAAGGUAACGGCUUACCAAGGCGACGAUACGUAGCCGACCUGAGAGGGUGAUCGGCCACACUGGAACUGAGACACGGUCCAGACUCCUACGGGAGGCAGCAGUAGGGAAUCUUCCGCAAUGGGCGAAAGCCUGACGGAGCAACGCCGCGUGAGUGAUGAAGGGUUUCGGCUCGUAAAACUCUGUUAUUAGGGAAGAACAAAUGUGUAAGUAACUGUGCACGUCUUGACGGUACCUAAUCAGAAAGCCACGGCUAACUACGUG
RNAcentral lists this ribosomal RNA (497 nucleotides) under uncultured bacterium. Its description in RNAcentral is "partial 16S ribosomal RNA". It matches the Rfam family "Bacterial small subunit ribosomal RNA", at positions 28 to 507 of the family's 1533-position model. The record is from RNAcentral.